CGUCUAUAUACGUAUAGCAUAUCAAUAAGCGGAGGAAAAGAAACUAACUAGGAUUCCCUUAGUAACGGCGAGUGAAGCGGGAAGAGCUCAAAUUUGAAAUCUUCAAGGGUUCUACCUUUACGAAUUGUAGUUUAAAGAAGUGUUUUCUGUUGGAGUUUCGGUAAAAGUUCUUUGGAAUAGGACAUCAUAGAGGGUGAGAAUCCCGUAUUUGACCAGUUACUUUCCAGCUGUGUGAUACACUUUCAAAGAGUCGGAUUGUUUGGGAAUGCAGUCCAAAAUGGGUGGUAAAUUUCAUCUAAAGCUAAAUAUUGGCGAGAGACCGAUAGCGAACAAGUACCGUGAGGGAAAGAUGAAAAGAACUUUGAAAAGAGAGUUAAACAGUACGUGAAAUUGUCAAAAGGGAAGCGUUUGACACCAGUGUUGUUUUCUCGAAAAUCAAUUAAAAAUGGCCGGAUUUUGUGUUGUAUUGACUUUAUCAGCUUUCUGCACUUUUUUCUUGUCUUUUUUAAUGCACUUUUCGUUUAACAAGUCAACAUCAAUUUCUUUUGUUGUAAAAGAGUCAUUGGAAGGUGGCUUUCCUUUCGGAUGAAAGUGUUUAUAGCCUUUGACUUCUGCAAUCGGAGAGAUUGAGGUCUGCAGCGUAGAUCCUUCGGGGUUAGAUAGCAUUUGUGCUAAGUUAUAGCUUUUCAUAGACAACAUGUUGACUAUGAUUAAGUCAUGUAGCUUACUCGCUUAUGCUAUUUUACCUACGCUUAGGAUGUUGAUCGAUCAGCUGAGCGCG
This 781-nucleotide ribosomal RNA is filed under the name uncultured Neocallimastigales. Its description in RNAcentral is "partial large subunit ribosomal RNA". It matches the Rfam family "Eukaryotic large subunit ribosomal RNA", at positions 26 to 628 of the family's 3401-position model. Lineage: Eukaryota; Fungi; Neocallimastigomycota; Neocallimastigomycetes; Neocallimastigales. The record is from RNAcentral.